GACGGGGGAUGCAAGCGUUAUCCGGAAUCACUGGGCGUAAAGCGUCUGUAGGUGGUGAUGCAAGUCACUGGUGCAAAAAUCUGGCUCAACCGGAGGAAAGGCAGUGAAACUGCAUGACUAGAGUGUGGGAGAGGUAGAAGGAAUUCCCUGAGUAGUGGUGAAAUGCGUAGAUACAGGGAAGAACACCGGAGGCGAAAGCGUUCUACUGGAACACAACUGACACUGAGAGUCGAAAGCUAGGGGAGCGAAUAGG
RNAcentral lists this ribosomal RNA (253 nucleotides) under uncultured bacterium. RNAcentral's name for it is "partial 16S ribosomal RNA". It matches the Rfam family "Bacterial small subunit ribosomal RNA", at positions 524 to 776 of the family's 1533-position model. The record is from RNAcentral.